UACGAAGGGGGCUAGCGUUGUUCGGAAUUACUGGGCGUAAAGGGCGCGUAGGCGGCCUUCUAAGUCGAACGUGAAAUCCCCGGGCUCAACCCGGGAACUGCGUCCGAUACUGGGAGGCUUGAAUCCGGGAGAGGGAUGUGGAAUUCCAGGUGUAGCGGUGAAAUGCGUAGAUAUCUGGAGGAACACCGGUGGCGAAGGCGGCGUCCUGGACCAACACUGACACUGAUGAGCGAAAGCCAGGGGAGCAAACGGG
This 253-nucleotide ribosomal RNA is filed under the name uncultured bacterium. RNAcentral's name for it is "partial 16S ribosomal RNA". It matches the Rfam family "Bacterial small subunit ribosomal RNA", at positions 524 to 776 of the family's 1533-position model. The record is from RNAcentral.